GAAUAAGAAGUAAAUUAUUACAUUCAGUUUCGACCUGAAAACCUGGUAUUAUACACCCUUAUUCU
This 65-nucleotide transfer RNA is filed under the name Chorthippus parallelus parallelus. Its description in RNAcentral is "tRNA-Arg". The record is from RNAcentral. RNAcentral also lists the same sequence under 1 other name. Lineage: Eukaryota; Metazoa; Arthropoda; Insecta; Orthoptera; Acrididae.